GAUGAACGCUGACAGAAUGCUUAACACAUGCAAGUCAACUUGAACUUCGGUUUGGGUGGCGGACGGGUGAGUAACGCGUAAAGAACUUGCCUCACAGAUAGGGACAACAUUUGGAAACGAAUGCUAAUACCUGAUAUUAUGAUUUUAGGGCAUCCUAGGAUUAUGAAAGCUAUAUGCGCUGUGAGAGAGCUUUGCGUCCCAUUAGCUAGUUGGAGAGGUAACGGCUCACCAAGGCGAUGAUGGGUAGCCGGCCUGAGAGGGUGAUCGGCCACAAGGGGACUGAGACACGGCCCUUACUCCUACGGGAGGCAGCAGUGGGGAAUAUUGGACAAUGGACCAAGAGUCUGAUCCAGCAAUUCUGUGUGCACGAUGAAGUUUUUCGGAAUGUAAAGUGCUUUCAGUUGGGAAGAAAAAAAUGGCGGUACCAACAGAAGAAGUGACGGCUAAAUACGUG
RNAcentral lists this ribosomal RNA (454 nucleotides) under uncultured bacterium. RNAcentral's name for it is "partial 16S ribosomal RNA". It matches the Rfam family "Bacterial small subunit ribosomal RNA", at positions 28 to 507 of the family's 1533-position model. The record is from RNAcentral.